AAUCCACCUGCCAAUGCAAGGGACAUGGGUUCGAGCCCUGGUCCGGGAAGAUCCACAUGAAAUGGAGCAACUAAGCCCGUGUACCACAACUACUGAGCCUGUGCUCUAGAGCCCAUGAGCCACAACUACUGAGCCCACGUGCCACAACUACUGAAGCCUGCACACCUACAGCCCGUGCUCCGCAACAAGAGAAGCCACCGCAAUAAGAAGCCCGUGCACCACAACGAAGAGUAGCUCCCACUUGUCGCAAUUAGAGAUAGCCCAUGCGCAGCAACGAAGACCCAACGCAGCCAAAAAUAAAUAAAUAAAUUUUUAAAAAAUAAAUAAGAACACAGUUGCUCAGUUAAAAUCAUUUCCUAGCAAAGCAAUAAUCACCAUUUAACCCACUUGGUCUGAGGUGCCUCUAAUGUUUAAAUGAAGAUGCUCACAUCUCAUUCCUUGUUUCCUCAGGGCUGCUGUGGAAUUCUACCUGUAUCAGGCCCCCACCGACAGCCAGGCUUGUAUUAUUGACUGUCAUUUUUAAGUAGCUCAGAGUCUAUGCUCAGAAUUUCCUGAAUGCCUAAAGAAUAACUGCUCACCUGCAAACCCCAUCGUGCUCAGCUUGGCAGGGCUCCCUUGUCACAUACCGUAUUUUCCAGGAACAUUUCUGUAGAGAAAAAUGGUCCCCAAGGAGCAACUGAAGCGUGUGUGUAGGCACUUAGAAUUGACACACUGUGGAAUGACUGGGAAUUUAUUUGGAUAAAUAGCCUGUAAUAUAGUCAGGGACUUCCCAUAAUUCUGAAGUCAAUGAGGCCCUUGGUGGUUUUAUUUCCCUCACUUCUGAGACAAUGGGAUUCACAUAGACUAUGGAUUUAUUCAUUAAAUGCUGAGUGUAAGAACUUGUUGUCACCAUCUUCUUUUGGGACAACUGAGCAUGGUUCCUCUUGGUAAGUGAUAUGAACACAAAAUAAACAUUGCCAGCUAUCUGUGUUCCAAUCUUCCCUGUGAGCAACUCUAAGUUUAGCUGCUGCUGUAUUCAAGUAAGCUUCUGCUCAGAAAGUAGUAAGAUGCUGGGGCUGCAGUAUUUCACUGUAGGAUGCUGUAAUGUCAGGAACCCGUACCAACACAUUCCAGAACUCCUAUACUAUGUGCUCCAGAAAAAGAGGCACAAAAUUCCUUCCAGUGUGUGAACUCUGGACCUAGAGAAUUUUGGUUUCGAUAAUUGAUAACUUUUUAUCUUGAGUAAGUACCUUAACCUCUCUGAGCCUUGUUUUUCCAUCUGUAAAAAAGGGAAACUAUCAGUAGCCAUCUCAUAGGGUUGUUGUGAGGAAUAAAUUCUAUCAUGUUUGAAAUGUGCUUAAACGUGACUAGGAAAAAGAAACUUUCAAAAAAAGUGACCAGCAUAUCUUAAGUGCUCAAAAUGUGAAUUCCUUUUAUUAUCACAACUGUCAUCAUUAUCACGAUGAUCACCCCAGAGAAGGGGAUCUAGUUUUACUGUCUCGGCUGUGUUUCAGUUGACAUUUCCAGCCUCAGUUAAAUGCUGUAGGAAAAAAGAAACAAACCUAGAGAGAGGCAAAGCAAGGUAGAAGGAGGAAGUGAGGGGAGAGCUAUGGGGAGGAAAGGACGGAAACAAAAAGAGAAAUAUCAACGCCAUUGAAGUUGUCUCAGGUCCUUGGGUAGCUGACACCUACCUUAAAUAAGUCAAAGGGCAGAAUUUGGAGGGAGGGUGUUAACCAGCUAAACAUUAGCCAGAUGGCUACAGCAAGUUAUUUUGAAGUGAGCGGGACGUAUUCUUGCAGCGACGCAUACCUCUUCAGCUGUGCAAGAUGAUUGUUAAUCACGUAGCCACGAUUCUCAGUAGCUCCACAUUGUAAGCUCAUCUUCUUCACUGGUGGUGGGUGAUGGUGAUGUUGAUGAUGAUGGUGGUGAUAGCAGUAGUAGCUGUCAGUUACUGAGCCUCUAUGUUGAGCCACACACCACAUUUUACAGGUGAAGACAUUAAAUAUCAGAUGGGAAAAUCAGAAAUUAGACGGCCUCUGGAGAUACCACACAAUGGAUAUACACGUGUGCCUGUAUGCUUCCAGUCCUUGGAUCUUUCUGCCAUAGCACUCUGUCUCUCUUUUCUUCCCUGCAGGUUAAAAAAGUGGUUGGUUUUAUGGUCCUCAGAAUUUGGUAGAUUGUUCUGCUGUCAAGUGCAUGAGAGCAGGGGAAUGGGGCAAUGAGGAUCAGAUUACUUUGAUCUUAGAGGGCAUGCAGGUUUCUUACCAGAAACUUUUCACUUAUGCAGGACACAAACACUGGAUUUUCCUGCUACUUCAGUUUCCCAAAUAUUAGGAGUUCAGUGGGGAUCCUUUCAAUGAGAAGCUUCUUACUGCCUCUACCAGGUCAAUUCUCUAGAGAUUCAUAUAACCCAAGCUAAUUUGUCUAAAACAAAUACAAUUAAAAGUCAGUGUGCCUAAGAGCAUUUUUGGUUAUAAUAAUUUUUACUGAAUAAUAUUAAUCACUUUCAGUAUAUUUCUCAUAUGAUAUGAGGUAUGGAACCCCUUUUACAUAUUCUUCCCUUUUUUAAAGUACUUUUCUGUUUUUCUUUUUCUUUUCUUUUUUUUUUUUUUUUUUGCGGUACGCGGGCCUCUCACUGCCAUGGCCCCUCCCGCUGCGGAACACAGGCUCCGGACGCGCAGGCCCAGCGGCCAUGGCCCACGGGCCCAGCCGCUCCGCGGCACGUGGGAUCCUCCCAGACCGGGACACGAACCCGUGUCCCCUGCAUCGGGAGGCGGACUCCCAACCGCUGCGCCACCAGGGAAGCCCACUUUUCUGUUUUUCUCAUCAAGGAUCCCAAGCUUUAGCCCAACUUAUACACAUUUCUGGGAUUUAGAUGUCUGCACAUGUCUUGCAAAUAGGUUGAGAAGUAUAAAUCAUAUUAUUUGCUUAAAUCUUGAAGAUGUUUCCUGGGAGAAAAUUUAUCCUGAAAAAAAAGAAAGUAGCAUGAUUCAGGGACAAAAGUACUAGACACUGGGGGAAAGGACUGGCUGUUUUUCCACUUUGAAACCCAAAUUAUAAAUCAUUGCUUAUUUAAUUAGUGCUAGAUACAAUUGUUUCUAAAGGUCAGUCAGUCAAACAAGUAUUUAUUGCAUAAUUUCGUGCUCAGUAUGUAAUUAGUGCUAUAAUUGGGUAUGUGUAAAACGUGAUAGCUAGCUACUCCAUUUGUUCUUGGUUUUUGUAUACCCAGAAUCCAGAAUAGUGCCUGAUUUAUGUACAUGAUCAGUAACUAAUUGAUGGAUAAGUUAGUGAGUGAACAAAUGGAUGAAUCAUACCCUCGUUGUGGAGACAACACAAAUGAAAAACAGCAGCAGUCUUUAGAGAAGAGAGAAUGUAAUUUAGUACUGAAUUAUGCAUAGUGUGGUGGACUGAGCUAAUACUUGGGUUCCAUUCCUACUCUGUCUUGACUUAUUCAGUGACCAUGGAUGUUACUAAAAUAUGUGACGCCUAACAGAUUUCUAAGAUAUUUUCAAGUUGUAAUAUUUUUUGAUCUCAUAAAAAUGCGUUCUGAAAUAUCCAAGAUUUCUCAGGUAGGAGGAGACAGUGAAGAUUGGAACGAUAGGGGAAGUCUUCCGUGAAGAGAUAAUAUUCGAUUUGGGUAGGGUUUUGGUUGGGUGGAAGAACAAGAAACUAGUAGGUUUCCUUCUGUGUAGCAGGUGCUUAUACAAAUAUCACGAUGUCAAGAGGUAGCUUAAGUACCAUUUUUGUAGACAGGAGAAGAAACCAGUAUCUCCAGUUGAGUUAGAGAAAUAAGGAUUGGAGCCAGGACAGUCACACACUAAAUCCUUUGCUCUUUACUGUGCACCCCAUUAAGGAGACCAGGUGAGGGUUUGUUAUAUAAGCAGAUCCUAGGAAUUUGGUUUUGUAUUUGCAUUGCUUUUGCAAAUUAACUCUUAGCUAGGGAAGGCUUCUCACCAAAAUGAAGUUUUGUCAAAAUUUCCAUCUGUGGCGGACAGUGUUAGUUGCUUCUUCAAUAUCUGUUCUCUCUUUCUGUUUUACUAGAGGAAGUAAACAUGCCAAGUUAAUAUGUGAUUCCCUAGGCUCACUUGUAGCUAGGGGUGGCCGCCUGGCACAUUUUCCCCAGUGUGCUAUAAGUGGAUGUAUACUAGUUGGAAUGUCUGGGAAAGCAAUUAUUUUCCACAGGGAUGAAUUCACCUCGAAUAUUCUUUUUGUGGUUUGUACUUUAUACCUCUUACUACUUGAAAUUCAGAUAUUACCUAGAGGUAGAGCAGACAUACUGUACGCAUGGUGACAAAAGCCACAUGCCGAGAAUUACAGUACAGAGUGAUAGAGAUUUAGAUUGUUAGCAGCGUUGUGAAACCUCUGUCCCAGCCUUGAACUACCAACUGCAAGGCUUCAUGUUUUUGUUUUUGUUUUUGUUUUGUUUUUGUGGUACGCGGGCCUCUCACUGUUGUGGCCUCUCCCGUUGCAGAGCACAGGCUCCGGACGCGCAGGCUCAGCGGCCAUGGCUCACGGGCCCAGCCGCUCCGCGGCAUGUGGGAUCUUCCCAGACCGGGGCACGAACCCGUGUCCCCUGCAUCGGCAGGCGGACUCUCAAUCACUGUGCCACCAGGGAAGCCCGCAAUGCUUCAUGUUACAUGAGAAAACUAAUUUUCUGGAUUUACCUUAGCAACUUGGCAUUCUACAAAGUCAUGAACUGAAGGAAAGGAUUUUCCUGAAAAGAGAACUUACAACAGCCUAACAGAAGCAUGAGCACACGUCAUUAAAAAAGGUGUUUCUGGAGACUGCAGCCAAGAGAGCUCACCUCCUCUCAUGAGCACACCAAAAGCACAACUAUCUGCAGAACAGCCAUUGAUGAAAAAGACUGGAACCUACCAGAAGAGAUUUUCUACAGCUAAAGACAUAAAGAAGGAACCAAAAUGAGACAGGUAGGAGGGGUAGACUCGUGAUAUCCUCAAAUCCCAUACCCCUCCAGGUGGCUGACCCACAAAUGGGAGAAAAAUUCUAUUGCAGAAUUUCUCCCACAGGAGCGCAAGUUCUGAGCCCCACGUCAGGCUCUCCAGCCUGGGGGCACAGCACCAGGAAGAGGAGCCCCCAGAGCACGUGGCUUUGAAGGCCAGCAGGGCUUAACUGCAGGAGCCCCACAGGACUGGGAAGAACAGAGACUUCACUCUUAAAGGGUGCACACAAAAUCUCACGUGCACUGGGACCCAGGGCAAAAGGAGUAAUUUGAUGGGAGCCUGGGCUGGGCCUACCUGCUGGUCUUGGAGGGUCUCCUGGGAAGGUGAGGGGGUGAGGGAGGCUGCAGCUCACUCUGGGGAUGAAGACACUGGUGUUGGACAUAUGAGGGAAUAUUCAGCCACGUGAACACUGCUGCUGACAUCUUGGAUCACUAGCUCCAAGACCUGGCCCUACCCAACAGCCUGCAAAUGAUAGUGCUGGGACACCUCAGGCCCAACAACUACCUGGGCAGGGACACAGCCCCACCCAUCAGCAGACAGGCUGCCUAAAGACUAAAGACCCCAUAACCACCUCUGGGCUCUACCCCAGACACAGCCCAGCCCACCAGAGGGCCAAGACCCAGCUCCACCCACCCGUAGACAGGCACCGGCCCCUCCCACCAGGAAGCCAGACUCUAGACCAGCCUCAUCCACCAGGGGGCAGACACCAGAAGCAAGAAAACUACAAUCCCACAAUGCAGGCCAGACCCUAGCCUAGAACCAGUUGGGCCCUGGCCCGGCCCACUAACAGGCCAAGGCAGCCUGUGGGACACCCCAGACCCCAGACCCAGCUAUGUCAGGAACCGGCCCCUCCCCCCAUCCCCCCUGCAACAAGCUGAAGUGAGCUCUGGAUCCCUGGGCCCUGCAGCCAGACUCUAGGAACCAGCAGUCUGCACUAACCCCAGGAUCUGCCUUCACCAGCUAGUGAGUGGGCGACAGCCCCAGACUCUUCGGGGCCCUGACUCUGCUCACCAGUGAGCCGGCACUGGCCCCUGGGCCCCCUAGGAUUCUGCAACCAGCCACCUCGUGACCAGGCCCCACUAAACAUCAGCCAGAAGCAUCCGUACAAGUCAGGGCCUGGCAGCCAACCAGGCCAGGGGCUUACCAGCCUGACCAGUUAGCCCGCUACAACAGAAGGACCCACGUAGCUCUCUUAGGGGGAACCCCCAGAGCAUGUAACUUGGGGAAUGAAAGGGGAGUGCACUGCUGGGAUGCAGAGGAUGCCUCCUCCAGAGGGCCACUCCUCCAAGGUGGAGAAACGUAACUGACCUACCACAUACCUAAAAAUACAGAUAGAAAUCUAGACAGAAUGAGGCCUCAGAGGAAUAUGUUUCAGCCAAAGGAACAAGAUAAAACCUCAGAAGAACUCAGUGAAGUGGAGAGAAGCAGUCUACCAGAGAAAGAGUUCAGAGUGCUGGUCAUAAAGAUGAUCAAGGAAAGUGGGAGGAGAAUGGAUACACAGAGCGAGAAGUUAGAAGUUUUGAAUAAAGAGAAGAUAUAAAGAACAGCCUAACAGAAAUGAAGAAUACAAUAACUGAAAUAAAAAAUACUCUGGAAGGAAUAAAUAGUAGACUAAAUGAUUCAGAAGAAUGGAUCAGUGAGCAGGAAGACAGAGUAGUGGAAAUCACUGCUGCAGAACAGAAAAAAGAAUGAAAAGAAAUGAGGACAGCAUGAGACCUCUGGGACGACAUCAAGUGCACUAAUACUUGCAUUAUAAGGGUCCCAGAAAAAGAGAGAGAAAGGGCCCGAGAAAAAUAUUUGAAGAGACAAUAGCUGUAAACCUCCCUAACCUGAGAAAGGAAAUAAUCACCCGAGUCUGGGAAGCAGGGAGAGUCCCAUACAGGCUCAACCCAAAGAGGAACACACCAAGACACGUUGUAAUCAAAAUGACAAAAAUUAAAGAAGAAAUACUAAAAGCAGCAAGUGAAAACAACAAAUAACGUACAAGGGAACUCCCAUGAGACUAUCAGUUGAUUUCUCAGCAGAAACUCUGCAGGCCAGAAGGGAGUGGCACAACAUAUCUAAAGUGAUGAAAGGGAAAAAGCUACAACCAAAAAUACUCUACCCAGCGAGACUCUCAUUCAGAUUUAAUGGAGAAAUCAAAAGCUUUACAGACAAGCAAAAGCUAAAAGAAUUCAGCACCACCAAACCUUCUUUGCAAGAAAUGUUAAAGGAACUUCUCUAGGCAACAAAGAAAAGACCACAACUAGAAUUAAGAAAAUUGCAGAAUGAAAAAGCAGAAAAGGCAAACAUAUAGCAAAAGUAGGUAAUCAUCCACAAACAAAACUAGUAGGUUAAAAGACAAAAGUAGUAAAAAUCAUCUAUAUCCACAAUAAGCAGUUAGGGGAUACACGAAACAAACAAUUAGAUGUAAAAUAUGAUAUCAAAAACAGUAACCACGAGCGGAGGAGAGUACAGAUGCAGGGUAUUUAAAAUGCGUUUGAAAUUAAGAGAUCAGCAACUUAAAACAAUCACGUAUGCAUAUAGACUGCUAUACAAAAACCUCAAGGUAACUGCAAACCAAAAAUCUGUAAUAGAUAUAAAAAAGGUGUUUCUGUACUCUUAGCAUCGUUUCAAAUUAUUUUGAACAAUAUAUAUUUAAAAAACAAAAAAGGAUAGCUUUAUCUAGCACACAUGCCAAAAGCAGGCUUGCUUUACUUGUAAGAGACACAGGCAAAUUGAAGUGCUCUAGAGUACAUGUGACACACAUGGAAAUAAUGAAUGAAAAUAGCAUUUGAAGCUCUAAUGAAUGCUGAGAUGAUCUGCAUUUUAAAAGAGUCUACAGGCCACCUUAUGGACCCACACGACCUACCAGAAGUCUCAUUUUGAGGCCCCCUGUGCUAGAUUAUAGAUGCUUCACUUGCAGGAGUACUUAUUUGAUUGCUGUAUUUUAAUUCAUAGAAUGGCAUUGUUGAUUGAGUACCCUGAGCCAAAUAAAUGAGCCACUUAUGUUAGGCACUUGUUCACAUUCAUAAAAACAGCAAAUAAUAUUAUCUUCAUCAAGCCCUUCCUAAGAAAUAGUGAUUGAAUGAUAUCUGGUGUUUUCUUUGUGUGCAAUUCCUUUCCAAGAGGUGGAGGAAACUGAUUUGCUUUUGAUGAACCUGUGUUGCCUCCAAACUGAUGUCCACAGAUUUCCUACUUCGUUAAUUGUCCCAGCAAUUUAGCAAACAGUGAUUUAUAUGAAAUAUUCCCUCUUGUUGCAGGCUCUACAGUCAGCUAAUUGAUUGCUGUAUGAAUUAUGCAUCCUAAACCAAAUGCAGGGGUGCAUGAAAGAUGCAGCCAAGGUCAUUUCCACCAAAGAGAACUACGGUGACUAAAUGCCUUUUUAAGACAGGCUUUAUUACUUUAAUUUUGCUGCUUUCUUCAUGUAUACAUCAAGUCCAGAGUAGUGAGCAGACUCUAAAAUCGUACCUUUAAUUUAUAAAAAGAUGCAUACACCCACAGUUCAGUGUUCUGCUGCCUGACAAAGGCUAUCACUGAAUUAAUUUGGUAGCACUAAGGAAAGAACCAGAAAUGGCAUACAGGUGCUUUUUAUCUAAUUCCAAAAUAUGCCAAAUCCCAUCAAAUUUGCCUAUAGUUUAUUAACAUUCAAAAGUGCCUGCUCCCAAAAUAAGCACUUUGAUUAGAUGAAGGCCAUGUUGGGACUAAAUACAGAUGAUUUGGCAUUUCCGCAGGUGAUGGACAGUUUUGAAAAGAUAUUCAUACUAAGAGAAGUGAAUGAUUUGUACAUUCUAGACGCUGUAUAAAGGAGAAGAAUGAUGCUUUACUAAAGCUUUCAGGAUUAAAGAAAUCAAAUUGGAAUAAUGAAAAGAUCUUCAUUUUUGCUGUCUCCGUGGCUUGGUUUGAAUUAUCACUUAGCCGUUUAUUAGUUGAGUGACUUUAGGCGAUUUAACCCUUCUGGACUUCAGUUGCCUUCUGCAAAAAUGGUCAUAAUAAUACUUUACUUACAUAGUUAUUGUAAAGAUAAACAUGACUGUAAGAGUCAUUAAAAUCAAUAACUUAACCUUAGACAGUACCUUGCUGCUUAUACAACAGAGCAUACUACCAGAUAUAGUGUUCCUCGAAUUACAAGUUGCGUGUGAGGUCUGUAAAGAAAACUUCCAAUUUGCUCUUAAAAUCACCCCCAGAAUGGCCAUGAGACCAUAUCAGUAUAUGCCCCCUAAACCAAACAAGCAUCUUCUGAUGUGAAUGUUUCCGUAUGCUCAAAGAACUCUUCUCGGGCAUUAAUCCACAUAAAAGUACAUGUUUCAGGACAAACUACAGAUACCUGGGGCAUACCAAAUCACACUCAGGCUGUGCUGGAUAAUGUAUGUGCUAUGAUUUCACAUUAGGGGAACAGACACCUCACAAGAGAGGAAUCAAUCACAAACCCUUCAGACCAGCACUUCACGCUUUAAUGCACUUAGCAAUCAGCUGCGGGUCUUGUUAAAAUGCUGACUGUGGUUCAGCAAGCUUGGGUUGGGGCCUGAGAUUCUGUAGUUCUAACAAACUUCCUGAUGACGUGAUGCAUCUGGUCCAUGAGCCACAAUUUGAGUUGCAAGGCUGAGUGCUUUUCAAACCCAGCUGCAUGUGAGAUUUGCCUGAAGAUCUCCUUAAAAAUAAUGAUGCCUGGGCUCUUCCUCAGAUUAGCUGAAUCUCUGGAAUUCAAUCCCUGGCUUAGGUACGUUUUUAAAGCUCCCUGAGUGAUCUUUAUUUGUAGAGCCAUGGCUGAGAACCAGUGUUUUAGACGUAAAGGCAAGUACUUCCAUCACCUCAUAUCAUGUGAUCUUUCUAAAAUCAUUUAUUAGCAAAGCCCAGACUGUGUAACAUAGAGAGCCCAGGACUUGGGCUUCAGAACGCGACAGUAAGUGCAGCAGGGCUUCUGCUUCUCACAAGGGCCUCGAGGAGGGCUCCACCCGUGUUCCACUUCCCUAAUCUGGAAUAGAGCUGUCAGGAUAGCUUUUCACCAGGCCCUGGGACAGGAUCAACACCUCAUCGCUUCCCAGUAAAAAGUAUCACCCCUAUCAGUGACUCUGGAGCUUUGACUUGAACCUGGAGUGGAAGGAAAUGUCAUGUAGCAUUGAAGGACCAUAAGAGUCACGGAUUAUACUUACAGAGUAGAAAAUGCACAUGAUGGGGAAGUUUUGCUGCUAUGGAAGAUAUCGGUUCUACUUCCAACUACCAGUGACCUCAUGCCUUUAAAAUUAGCACGCAUAAUAUGCUGUCUGUAAGUUAACUCUACUUUUUCUAAGUUCCCACAGUAGGUUUUUCUUCUUGCUUGUUACAUUCCCAACAUUGUAAUUUUAAUUCAAUACCUGGUUUCUCCAUUUCAGUGGCACCUGCAUCCGAUGACCUGGAGCCUUUUAAGACCAUACUGAUGUGCCCAUCUACUAUAGUUCCUGGUUCAGUAGGUCUGGGGUCAGGACCGAGAAAUGGCAUUUCUAACAAAUUCCUGUGAGGUGCUCUUAGAUAUUGGGCCAGGAACGACCCCCUCCCCCAUCCUUUGAGAACUACUGCUUUAUCAUUUCAUGAGCUUCAUGGGAAGAGGUAUUGUGCUUUUAUAUUCUCCAUGCACCACCAGUGCCUAGUAUGUAGAUGGCAUGAACAAAUAUCGUUUGAAUAAAAAGUGAUCACCAAGCCCCAUCUCAUUCAUAGUGAAAACACUUAUGGAACGUUGGACAUUUCAUCCAGCCUGUUAAGGAUAAUGCUUUCCAAAGAAACUCAAAAAAUAACAUUGACUUAGGGAUUUCUGCUACUGUGGAAUCUAGAGCAUCUGGAGUCACUUUCUAUGAAAGCUUUCUUUUUUUUUUUCCUCAGCCACUAAGGUAUGGUAAUGAAAUCAGCAUGACACACAGGUGUGUUGACUGUUUAGGCUUCCAUUCAAGGUGCUUUGAAAGCAGAAGCAACAGAAUCCCCUCCUGUAGGGCCAUCUGCUUUCAAUUUUUCAGCUGAACCUCCUGAAGACUCACCAGGUGCUAAUUUUGUAUAUGAUUCCAUUGGAAUUCUAUCACUUUUCUUUAGAUUUUAAUUCCCAAAGGAAGGGAAAGAUUCACUGAAGCAGAAAAGCUCCCUGACAUAGAGAAGAUCGGGAAUGAUCUCUAGCUGAACAAAGGCCAGUUCUACAAAUAGUUGACAAAUUGUCUGAGUUUUAGUCAACUCAUUUUUUAAAGUCACCUCCUGAACGUGUAGGCUUUUGCAAUCACUGGAUCAGCCGUGCAGUCAAUCCAAUUCAGUCUCAGAAGGAGGAAAUAGAUUGUUUUUAAACCUAUAGUUUUUACUUUCCUAACUCGGGCAGUCGAUACUUUGGACAAUUUCGAACACAGAAACCAUAACUUUAUGAAAAUCUGCUGCGUGAUUUCCUUUUCACAUUCAAGUACUUAGAAAUCUCUUGCCCUUGUUACUAGAAAAACUAAUGUUGGGCAAGUGAUUAGAAUCUCUUCUAAUCCUCAUGUUUCCUGAAUUCAUAUUAACAGAAAGGAGAGAGACCAACAACCUAAUCUGCAGUCAUUCCAAAUAAAGUCUGAGCUUCAUCUUCACAUUUGAGCACUAAAUUUAAGAGCAAAACUCAUGACAGAGCAGAGAAAAGGGGCACAUUUUAGCAGUUAAGCUUUAGGCCGGCUUGAUCCGAACUAAAUGCUUUGUAAUCUCUCUUUAAACAAAAGCUUUAGCUUCUGUAAUCCUCCUUUUUAUCUAUCCCUAUGAAGCCUCCUGAGGUUAAAGCUGCUGCUCAUGUAAUUUUUUAUAAACAGCCUAGAUCUUUGCCCACAAAUUGCUUUCCAAGGGUGAUGGCAGCAGUGUCAACUUAGCUCAAGUGUCAUGAGUCAUGUUCCCCUCCCUUUGGAGACACCUGCCCAAGCAAAGCCCGAGUAUCCUUUGCUGGUAUUCUCACUGCACAGACGUCCUGCUACUGAGCAUCCAUCCAGCCGAGGGCCCUGGCUCAAUAAAGCAUGGCUGAGAGACUAUUGCGUCUAUCUGCACCUUCUGUUCUUGAAAUCCCAAGGAAAGCUUCCAUUUGUCACAUUGAACCAUGCGCCGUUAUACUCUGGCUCCACCCAAAGUCUGGUGUCUUUGAUGGGGUUCUUCAGUGCCUGUGAACUUCCACUGCCUUUCCUGAGGGGAAACAGCAAGGAAGCUGAGGCUCCAUGACAGACUGAUGCCCUAAUGAAGCAGCCCAGCCAGGACUGAAACGUCUCACGCUUGCCAUUGUGUGGUCACUGUAACUUUCCAACAGGCAUCUUUAACGCUGCUUGUGAAAGCCUGCAUGUAGAGACAACGAAAAGCUGAACUUCAUAUAAAUGCCAAAAAAUAAAAAUACAUCACUAUGCAGAAACAUCAGAGAGAGCAUACAACUUUUGCUGCACCUAUUAUAGUAGGACCAUGUGUUCACAUGUGAGUAUAGGCGCACAUGCGUGCACGCGCGCACACACACACACACACACACACACACACAGACUCCUCCACAAGAGAGCAGCUGUCUUAUCUUCUCACAAGCCCAAGCUCUAGCUAUGUGUGUAAGAGAAACAAUCUCUAGAUAAAUCCUCAUAAGAUAAAGACCAAUUUUGACUUUCCCUUUGACUUAGAAAUCUAGGCUCAGACUCCUUGAUAAGGAAGUUGCUAUAACUGGGAAUUUAAAAAUAAUCCUGGAUUCUCAAGAAGUGGCCUAGUUUAAUGGAAGGACUAUGGGCUUUAGAAUUAAACAGACCUGGCUUUAAAUCCCUCAUAUUCCAUUUAUUAAUGGUGCAGCUAUGAGCAAGUACCUUAAACUCUCUGAGCUUUGGUUUCCUUAAAUGCAUAAAGCUUCUUGGAAGCAUUAAAGAUGAUAUGUGUGAUGUGGCUAGAAGAGAGUGAAACCUCAGGAAUGGUAGGUAGCUUCUACCACUGGCCAACUCAUUCUUAUUGGACAAGAUGCGUUACCUUUUGGGGCCCUGGUUUCUUCCUCAAAGAAUCAAUUCUAGUGCUCCAAGAUUCAAAACUUAGUGCUUAUACUUUACUUAGGGAAGGAGGACAGAUGUAAAGAAUCAGGAUUUUCUCAACAAAAGCUGAUGAGUCUCCUUCUCCUUGGUGUUCCUGGGUGGGUGGUGGAUGGGCAAAAGUUCGGUCUCCACAUAUGUACAGGUGUUAAUAAAAUGGGGCAAGAUGAUGAUAAAUCCUUAGGGAAGAAAGUGUAAAGCCUCCACUUUCAUCUUGUCAUCUUGGCUUUCUCUUUCUUUCUCUCUCCUCCCCUGCUUCUCUCUCUCUCUCUAUUUCUCUUUCUCUCCCUCUCUCCAAAUGAAAAUAAUGUAAUAUCUUAGCCUUACAUUUCAAAGGUCAUUAACACAAACACACUUAUAAAACUAUAUAUAAGCAUCAGUUAUUGUUGCUAGCUAUGUAAUCAUCACUGCAGAUAUUUAACUCUAAAUCACAAUGUCUCCAGCUUUCCUUGGCUAUAAAUUAUGUUCAACUCUGGACUGUCCUAGAAAGUACUAUCUGAAGAAAAGUUAAUGUUCCUAAAGUUCUCUACAUAGAGAAUACUAGGUAAAAGUAUCACACCUUCUUGCAUUUGGUGAGUUUUCUAAGAGUUCUCUUUUCUACACCCCGUAUUUGAUUUCUAUUAAGCAAUGUCAUCUGUCAUCCAGGACUGCCACUUAUUCCCUACAAAGGGAACUCACGCAGCUAGACUCAGUGUCAUCAUUUCAAAGAUGUGUGCACAUACAAGGACUCUCUUGAUCCUUUAUUUAAAAGGCGAUCAAUCUAUUUUAAAAUUGCCUUCAAAAGACAUGAACUAGUCUGGCUCCAACACUUGAAUUUUCAUGCUGUCUCAUAUUGACUAUAGUAACUACAGUAACAAACCAACAUCCACAGGGUGAAGCUACCCUCUCUCAUGCUGGUGAACAGGGUACUUUUUGGACGUCAGCACUUUGGCCAACAGAGCUUCUGAAAUGGGAAGAUCAGGCCCCUUCUCAGGACGAGGCCCUGCCUGGAUGGAGUACCUGCAAGACAGAGCAAGUAUUUCAUCUUAGAGUACUUAGGAGAGAGACCCCAUUUCACUUUAC
Molecule: long non-coding RNA, 13990 nt
Organism: Orcinus orca (killer whale)
Lineage: Eukaryota; Metazoa; Chordata; Mammalia; Artiodactyla; Delphinidae
Exons: 6
Source: RefSeq, a predicted model, not a curated record